Molecule: unclassified non-coding RNA, 2229 nt
Filed under: Pogonomyrmex barbatus (red harvester ant)
Lineage: Eukaryota; Metazoa; Arthropoda; Insecta; Hymenoptera; Formicidae
Description: protein MNN4-like, transcript variant X3
Source: RNAcentral
UCCGACUUUCGAGAUGAGAUGGAGUGACAAUACUGAGAACUCUCGGUAUUGUCGGGAGGAGGAAAAUCUGAGAACCUCUGAUUUUCCCCAGACGGGAGAUGCAAGAAUAUCGAGAACGCUCGGUAUUCGUUGCGAGGGCGAGAAAGCUGAGAACACUCCGAAUUCUCGAGAAAGGAUAGAACAGGAAUACGGAGAACGCUCGAUAUUCGCUGAGAGAAUCUUCUCUCGCUGUUCUGGUCGGAACGGUUGUCGGUGUUGGACAGGUCGGAGGAACGGAUAGGACUGGUCUCUCGUCUUAAAAUUCAUCGGGUAUUUAUACCCCUAUCCGCGCCAUGUGUCACCGUUUAGUUUGUUAGCGUUUGUUAAUGUAACAAUAGCUGUCACGUUGUCGCUGCGUGACAGCUCGUCGGCGCGCGUGUGUCGGUCGGUCGCGGUCGGGAAUGUUCGGGCGGCCUCGGAUGGCGCGGGCCGCAUUUGCGCGCGCUAGUAACAGAGCAUCUUUCGGAUGCUCUGUUACAGGGUUCACGGUCGACCAGAGAUUUAUCGAAGCGAGAAUUCAGAGAGAAGCUUCGCCGGAAUAUCAACUUCUAAAUACAGUCAUCGAGGAAGCAAGAUUGAAUUCAAUCGCGUUAGAGGAGUGGAGAAACCUUAUAAACGAAAAAUUAGCGAAGAAAGAGCGAAAGAAGAAGAAGAAGAAGAAGAAGGAGAAGGAAACGAAAGAAAAGGAUAGCAAGGAGGUCACUGGUAGCGAUAGCAACAAUACCGGACCGAGCAAUUACUGCAUGGAUAUGGCGGAAAACGAAAGUGCAAUCGAUGAAACGCAACAACAGGCGUCUGAUGGAGAAAAUGCGGAAAUGUUGCCAUCUGAGCGAGUAAUGCAGAUGGAGGAAGAAGAAAAGCGUGAACAAGAAGAGAAGAAACGCUACCGUGAUCCGCCAACUGUAUUCAAAGACUUGAUAGAUGUACAAGCGGAAUACGAUGGUCUGGUAGACGCUCUCAAGGAAAAAUUGAACGACGAAGAACAAACGUGCUUGGACGAGCUGUGUCUUGGAGAAUGAAGGUUUUUGGGCUUUAGGCGAUAAUUUCCUUCGUAGGUGAGUUAUCAAAGAGUACAGGGGUGCAGGAUUUUCAAUAUUUCUGGAAUUAUGCUUAAUUUAUCAAACUCUGAAUUUUAAAAGGAUUUUUAAGUUGAAUAAUUUAUUAAAAAUUGAUUUUAAGAUAAGUUUUUAAUAUUUGCUUCUAAAAACACAUUGUUAAAAUAUAAAUUAUUUAUAAAUUAUAAAUUAUAUAAAAUAUAAAUGGUUUCAUAUCGAGUCCUCUACGAUAAAUCAUUAGGCAGCGAUGUACGAGUAAAAUUGUUGAAUGUGCUGUCUGUCGCCGCACUGAAAGAUGAUAUGAUCUUGUUGCAUCAAGACAGAGCACAUCAUCAUGACUUAUGCCUUUGAUAUCGAUCAGCAUCCACUAGAGGAACAACUUACAUUAGCACAAUUUUUGGCGAAUAUGAGAAUCUUAGCAGCUCGGAAUGACUACUCUAUAUAUCUAGAAUGGCAGCAUCAAGAUCAGAACAUCAGUAGCAACAUUAACAAUAUAAGGAUGACAAUCAAAGUCGCGGUACACUCGUUGCUCUCAAAUUCGGAAGCUCUGCAGAUCCGUGGCGCGGCCAUCAUUCAUAACCUUGUUUGCAAGGAGAUAAAAAAUCUGUAUUCUGUAACUGUUGUUGUGUUAACUGUAGUCCUGUAUCCUUCCUGUCCAAUUAACAUUCUCAUCUCUCGCCGAUUCUCGCUUUCAUUUUCUCGUAACUCAUCAUUGCAAGUGCUUCGCGUAUCGAAGACAUCUUACUGAAGACUAUAAUUCUGUAAAGAUUAUCAUUCAGUUUUAACGUACAAAUUUUUUUCUGCACAAAUUUCUUUCUUACAAGACAGAUUUCGUAGACUUUGCUUGUUUUACUUAUUUUAUUUAUAUAAAUUACAGGAACAUAAAGGAAAAGAUACAAAUCGAAAUUGAAUCUGAAGUUAGAUCGAUUCUUCGAUGCACAAUUUGUGACGUCGUUUUCGCGUGCUUGCCGAUGUCGUAAGAGAAACAAGUUCGCAUCGUGCCUUAAGAAAGAAUGCUGUCUUUAUUAAUAAAGAAAAAAGAAAUAUAUUAGCUCUGUAAAUCUAUCAAUGCCAAACGCAAACGUCGACAUGAACGUCCCGCCUGGUAACUCAAUGAACGAGCAAACAAAAAAAA